This is a long non-coding RNA of Helicoverpa armigera (cotton bollworm), 660 nucleotides long. RefSeq lists it as uncharacterized. The record is from RefSeq and is a predicted model, not a curated record. The transcript has 3 exons. NCBI's taxonomy places the organism in Eukaryota, Metazoa, Arthropoda, Insecta, Lepidoptera, Noctuidae.
AGGAUCAACUAUGUCAGACAGACCACAAAUGUCAAAAAAUAAUUAUUUCUUGGAUUUUUUUUAGAAGUUCAUAUUUUAGUGUCUACGGUAUCAAUAAAUUGAACGGGUAUCGUUAAAAUUUUGCGUAAAUGUAUCAAGUAUUUGUCCGAUGUAUUUAUUGGCCGGUAGGAGCGAUUUUGUUUUUCACUUCUUUUUGAACGAGGAGCCUGCCAAUCGAAACCAAAAUGACACCUGGCAGGGGCAACUCUUCCAGUAUAAACACAGGGGAAAUGGUGUUGACCGCAAUUAAGAAACUGAUGAAAAACACAGGAUGGACUGCGCGCACCAUCAUCAAGUUUAUUAGAAUGGAGUAUCGUGUUGCUGAUCCAAAAAUAAGCCGAAAAGUUUCCAGGGCGUUAAAGCGUGGAGUGAGGCUGGGACUGCUGCAAAUGGAACAAGGUCGCUAUAGGCUCAAUGAAAUGUCUCGUCUGGCACAUUCUGUGAAGCCGCGCAGCCAGCGCCCGCGCAAGGCAACCAAGCAACGGGAACGCCCCCUAAAGGUGCGCAGUCGCACACCCUCCAGUGCAAGGACUGAUGACUACAGAAAUUGAAAAAUGUAAAAUAUAAAAAUGUUACUGAUUUUUUAUUGAAAAGUAAAUAAAGUUGUUCCUUUUUUUAGUA